This 370-nucleotide long non-coding RNA is filed under the name Phoenix dactylifera (date palm). RNAcentral describes it as "long non-coding RNA (PDAC_LNC021163)". The record is from RNAcentral. Lineage: Eukaryota; Viridiplantae; Streptophyta; Magnoliopsida; Arecales; Arecaceae.
UUUUGAUGCUUUUCAUCCAUUAUUCCCCGAAUACUUACUGUCCAACAGGAAGUGAGAAGGUCGGAAGAGUGGCAUGAAGAGGAAACAAUCUUUGUAUGAUACACCACUACCUCCCAAUCUAGAAAUCUCUGGGUUUACAUAUUCCUUCUCAGAGAUGAUUUAUCAUAUCCCUAAAAUUUAGGGAUUGAAUAAUCACCACAUUCUCAAAUAAUGCAGCUUCCUCCUCUCCUGCCUUCUUGCCUCUCUUCCAUUAUUCUCAUUUUUCCAUAAGAUGUAAGAUAUCCAAAGAUAGUGGAUGCAAAGCAUCUAAACAGGCCCAUACUGAACAAAGAAUAUCCCAAACAUCUCUAGGGCUGGCCAACUGAGCUUG